AGAGUUUGAUCAUGGCUCAGGAUGAACGCUAGCUACAGGCUUAACACAUGCAAGUCGAGGGGAAACGAUAUUGGAAGCUUGCUUCCGAUAGGCGUCGACCGGCGCACGGGUGAGUAACGCGUAUCCAACCUGCCCACCACUUGGGGAUAACCUUGCGAAAGUAAGACUAAUACCCAAUGAUAUCUCUAGAAGACAUCUGAAAGAGAUUAAAGAUUUAUCGGUGAUGGAUGGGGAUGCGUCUGAUUAGCUUGUUGGCGGGGUAACGGCCCACCAAGGCAACGAUCAGUAGGGGUUCUGAGAGGAAGGUCCCCCACAUUGGAACUGAGACACGGUCCAAACUCCUACGGGAGGCAGCAGUGAGGAAUAUUGGUCAAUGGACGAGAGUCUGAACCAGCCAAGUAGCGUGCAGGAAGACGGCCCUAUGGGUUGUAAACUGCUUUUAUAAGGGAAUAAAGUGAGAGUCGUGACUCUUUUUGCAUGUACCUUAUGAAUAAGGACCGGCUAAUUCCGUGCCAGCAGCCGCGGUAAUACGGAAGGUCCGGGCGUUAUCCGGAUUUAUUGGGUUUAAAGGGAGCGUAGGCCGGAGAUUAAGCGUGUUGUGAAAUGUAGACGCUCAACGUCUGCACUGCAGCGCGAACUGGUUUCCUUGAGUACGCACAAAGUGGGCGGAAUUCGUGGUGUAGCGGUGAAAUGCUUAGAUAUCACGAAGAACUCCGAUUGCGAAGGCAGCUCACUGGAGCGCAACUGACGCUGAAGCUCGAAAGUGCGGGUAUCGAACAGGAUUAGAUACCCUGGUAGUCCGCACGGUAAACGAUGGAUGCCCGCUGUUGGUCUGAAUAGGUCAGCGGCCAAGCGAAAGCAUUAAGCAUCCCACCUGGGGAGUACGCCGGCAACGGUGAAACUCAAAGGAAUUGACGGGGGCCCGCACAAGCGGAGGAACAUGUGGUUUAAUUCGAUGAUACGCGAGGAACCUUACCCGGGCUUGAAUUGCAGAGGAAGGAUUUGGAGACAAUGACGCCCUUCGGGGCCUCUGUGAAGGUGCCGCAUGGUUGUCGUCAGCUCGUGCCGUGAGGUGUCGGCUUAAGUGCCAUAACGAGCGCAACCCCUCUCCUUAGUUGCCAUCAGGUUAAGCUGGGCACUCUGGGGACACUGCCACCGUAAGGUGUGAGGAAGGUGGGGAUGACGUCAAAUCAGCACGGCCCU
RNAcentral lists this ribosomal RNA (1203 nucleotides) under metagenome. RNAcentral describes it as "bacterial SSU rRNA". It matches the Rfam family "Bacterial small subunit ribosomal RNA", at positions 8 to 1202 of the family's 1533-position model. The record is from RNAcentral.